AUGUGCAGCUUGGGGGAACCUGAGGAGCCUGGCCCUUGUGGGGACAUGCACACACCACACACAACAAACUCCUGCACCACCCCACAGGGCAGCAUGCCUGUGAACACGCCAGCACAAACCGUGCACACAUCACACACCCCUGCACCACCCCACAGUCCAGCAUGCCUGUGCACACGCCAGCACACACUGUGCACACAUCACACACACCUGCACCACCCCACAGGCCAGCAUGCCUGUGCACACGCCAGCACACACUGUGCACACAUCACACACAGCUGCACCACCCCACAGUCCAGCAUGCCUGUGCACACGCCAGCACACACUGUGCACACAUCACACACAGCUGCACCACCCCACAGGCCAGCAUGCCUGUGCACACGCCAGCACACACUGUGCACACAUCACACACAGCUGCACCACGCCACAGGCCAGCAUGCCUGUGCACACGCCAGCACACACUGUGCACACAUCACACACAGCUGCACCACGCCACAGGCCAGCAUGCCUGUGCACACGCCAGCACACACUGUGCACACAUCACACACAGCUGCACCACGCCACAGGCCAGCAUGCCUGUGCACACGCCAGCACACACUGUGCACACAUCACACACAGCUGCACCACCCCACAGGCCAGCAUGCCUGUGCACACGCCAGCACACACUGUGCAUACAUCACACACAGCUGCACCACCCCACAGGCCAGCAUGCCUGUGCACACGCCAGCACACACUACACACAUCACACACAGCUGCACCACCCCACAGGCCAGCAUGCCUGUGCACAUGCCAGCACACACUACACACAUCACACACAGCUGCACCACCCCACAGGCCAACAUGCCUGUGCACACGCCAGCACACACUACACACACAUCACACACAGCUGCACCACCCCACAGGCCAACAUGCCUGUGCACAUGCCAGCACACACUGCACACACAUCACACACACCCCACGUGCCUGCACAUACUUGCACAUACCCACACGUCUCUGCACCCACUGUUGUGCACACUCUUACAUGGCACUACUUCUCUCCAUAACCUCAGUGCAGCUGUGGGACUGAAGCGGGCAGCCUGCCUGCUCCCCUCUCUUAUCCCAGGGCUCUAG
Molecule: long non-coding RNA, 1107 nt
Filed under: Callithrix jacchus (white-tufted-ear marmoset)
Lineage: Eukaryota; Metazoa; Chordata; Mammalia; Primates; Cebidae
Description: lncRNA (ENSCJAG00000080936.1)
Source: RNAcentral